CUUGGCCUCUUCGGCCGCUCGUGCGGACGUCGUCGGGUCACCCGUGGGUGACAGCUGAGGCCAGGCUGCUUCUCCUUGCAGCUGCUCUGCAGAACAAGGUCCCAAAUCUGCAAAACGGUACAGCAGGCAGCGAGUACUGGCAAGGGCAGAGAGACUGUCUCCCUCACACAUCACUGCUGAGAAUGUGAGAUGGUGGAAUUUCCUCUAAACACAAAGUUACGAAGAGUGAUGAAGAUGGCCAACCAGGCAAAAACUUGCCCACUGAGUGCAUUUUUUUUCAUAAUGAAAAUGUAUAAACAAAAAUACACUUCACUGUCCAAUAAAAAUAAUGGUCUGCUGUA
Long non-coding RNA from Arvicola amphibius (Eurasian water vole), 341 nucleotides. RefSeq lists it as uncharacterized. The record is from RefSeq and is a predicted model, not a curated record. The transcript is spliced from 2 exons. NCBI's taxonomy places the organism in Eukaryota, Metazoa, Chordata, Mammalia, Rodentia, Cricetidae.